Molecule: ribosomal RNA, 2903 nt
Filed under: Enterobacter cloacae
Lineage: Bacteria; Pseudomonadati; Pseudomonadota; Gammaproteobacteria; Enterobacterales; Enterobacteriaceae
Description: bacterial LSU rRNA
Rfam family: Bacterial large subunit ribosomal RNA
Source: RNAcentral
UUAAGCGACUAAGCGUACACGGUGGAUGCCCUGGCAGUCAGAGGCGAUGAAGGACGUGCUAAUCUGCGAAAAGCGCCGGCGAGGUGAUAUGAACCUUUGACCCGGCGAUGUCCGAAUGGGGAAACCCAGUGCAAUCCGUUGCACUAUCGUUAACUGAAUACAUAGGUUAACGAGGCGAACCGGGGGAACUGAAACAUCUAAGUACCCCGAGGAAAAGAAAUCAACCGAGAUUCCCCCAGUAGCGGCGAGCGAACGGGGAGCAGCCCGGAGUCUGAAUCAGCUUGUGUGUUAGUGGAACGGUCUGGAAAGUCCGACGGUACAGGGUGAUAGUCCCGUACACGAAAAUGCACAUGCUGUGAACUCGAAGAGUAGGGCGGGACACGUGGUAUCCUGUCUGAAUAUGGGGGGACCAUCCUCCAAGGCUAAAUACUCCUGACUGACCGAUAGUGAACCAGUACCGUGAGGGAAAGGCGAAAAGAACCCCGGCGAGGGGAGUGAAAAAGAACCUGAAACCGUGUACGUACAAGCAGUGGGAGCCUCUUUAUGGGGUGACUGCGUACCUUUUGUAUAAUGGGUCAGCGACUUAUAUUCUGUAGCAAGGUUAACCGUAUAGGGGAGCCGAAGGGAAACCGAGUCUUAACUGGGCGUUAAGUUGCAGGGUAUAGACCCGAAACCCGGUGAUCUAGCCAUGGGCAGGUUGAAGGUUGGGUAACACUAACUGGAGGACCGAACCGACUAAUGUUGAAAAAUUAGCGGAUGACCUGUGGCUGGGGGUGAAAGGCCAAUCAAACCGGGAGAUAGCUGGUUCUCCCCGAAAGCUAUUUAGGUAGCGCCUCGUGAACUCAUCUUCGGGGGUAGAGCACUGUUUCGGCUAGGGGGCCAUCCCGGCUUACCAACCCGAUGCAAACUACGAAUACCGAAGAAUGUUAUCACGGGAGACACACGGCGGGUGCUAACGUCCGUCGUGAAGAGGGAAACAACCCAGACCGCCAGCUAAGGUCCCAAAGUCAUGGUUAAGUGGGAAACGAUGUGGGAAGGCACAGACAGCCAGGAUGUUGGCUUAGAAGCAGCCAUCAUUUAAAGAAAGCGUAAUAGCUCACUGGUCGAGUCGGCCUGCGCGGAAGAUGUAACGGGGCUAAACCAUGCACCGAAGCUGCGGCAGCGACACUAUGUGUUGUUGGGUAGGGGAGCGUUCUGUAAGCCGUUGAAGGUGUGCUGUGAGGCAUGCUGGAGGUAUCAGAAGUGCGAAUGCUGACAUAAGUAACGAUAAAGCGGGUGAAAAGCCCGCUCGCCGGAAGACCAAGGGUUCCUGUCCAACGUUAAUCGGGGCAGGGUGAGUCGACCCCUAAGGCGAGGCCGAAAGGCGUAGUCGAUGGGAAACAGGUUAAUAUUCCUGUACUUGGUGUUACUGCGAAGGGGGGACGGAGAAGGCUAUGUCAGCCGGGCGACGGUUGUCCCGGUUUAAGCAUGUAGGCGGAGGUUCCAGGUAAAUCCGGUACCUUAUUAACGCUGAGGUGUGAUGACGAGGCACUACGGUGCUGAAGUGAUAAAUGCCCUGCUUCCAGGAAAAGCCUCUAAGCAUCAGGUAACACGAAAUCGUACCCCAAACCGACACAGGUGGUCAGGUAGAGAAUACCAAGGCGCUUGAGAGAACUCGGGUGAAGGAACUAGGCAAAAUGGUGCCGUAACUUCGGGAGAAGGCACGCUGAUGUGUAGGUGAAGCCCCUGCGGGUGGAGCUGAAAUCAGUCGAAGAUACCAGCUGGCUGCAACUGUUUAUUAAAAACACAGCACUGUGCAAACACGAAAGUGGACGUAUACGGUGUGACGCCUGCCCGGUGCCGGAAGGUUAAUUGAUGGGGUUAGCGGCAACGCGAAGCUCUUGAUCGAAGCCCCGGUAAACGGCGGCCGUAACUAUAACGGUCCUAAGGUAGCGAAAUUCCUUGUCGGGUAAGUUCCGACCUGCACGAAUGGCGUAAUGAUGGCCAGGCUGUCUCCACCCGAGACUCAGUGAAAUUGAACUCGCUGUGAAGAUGCAGUGUACCCGCGGCAAGACGGAAAGACCCCGUGAACCUUUACUAUAGCUUGACACUGAACACUGGUCCUUGAUGUGUAGGAUAGGUGGGAGGCUUUGAAGCGUGGACGCCAGUCUGCGUGGAGCCAACCUUGAAAUACCACCCUUUAAUGGCUGGUGUUCUAACGUAGACCCGUAAUCCGGGUUGCGGACAGUGUCUGGUGGGUAGUUUGACUGGGGCGGUCUCCUCCCAAAGAGUAACGGAGGAGCACGAAGGUUGGCUAAUCCUGGUCGGACAUCAGGAGGUUAGUGCAAUGGCAUAAGCCAGCUUGACUGCGAGCGUGACGGCGCGAGCAGGUGCGAAAGCAGGUCAUAGUGAUCCGGUGGUUCUGAAUGGAAGGGCCAUCGCUCAACGGAUAAAAGGUACUCCGGGGAUAACAGGCUGAUACCGCCCAAGAGUUCAUAUCGACGGCGGUGUUUGGCACCUCGAUGUCGGCUCAUCACAUCCUGGGGCUGAAGUAGGUCCCAAGGGUAUGGCUGUUCGCCAUUUAAAGUGGUACGCGAGCUGGGUUUAGAACGUCGUGAGACAGUUCGGUCCCUAUCUGCCGUGGGCGCUGGAGAAUUGAGGGGGGCUGCUCCUAGUACGAGAGGACCGGAGUGGACGCAUCACUGGUGUUCGGGUUGUCAUGCCAAUGGCACUGCCCGGUAGCUAAAUGCGGAAGAGAUAAGUGCUGAAAGCAUCUAAGCACGAAACUUGCCCCGAGAUGAGUUCUCCCUGAGACUUUAAGUCUCCUGAAGGAACGUUGAAGACGACGACGUUGAUAGGUCGGGUGUGUAAGCGCAGCGAUGCGUUGAGCUAACCGAUACUAAUGAACCGUGAGGCUUAACCUU